This is an RNA transcript of Hemiscyllium ocellatum (epaulette shark), 4441 nucleotides long. It is a transcript of the gene named heterogeneous nuclear ribonucleoproteins A2/B1-like, with no coding region annotated. Lineage: Eukaryota; Metazoa; Chordata; Chondrichthyes; Orectolobiformes; Hemiscylliidae. The transcript is spliced from 12 exons. The record is from RefSeq and is a predicted model, not a curated record.
GAGCGGCGUUGGUGGUGGCAGCGUCGAGGAGGCUGUGGAUUGCAGCUUGUCUCUUUAAUCGUUUUUCUUUAGCUAUAAACGCCAUUUUUAAUCGAUAUAACGUUAUUUACGAAGCGCUUGAGUUGAAGUAUAGCGUUUUUUUAUUUAAAAAUUAUUUUUUCGAGCAGGAUGGAGAAUAGGGAUAAGGAGCAGUAUCGCAAACUGUUCAUAGGUGGUCUCAGCUUUAACACAACUGAAGAAAAUUUGAGAAGCCAUUUUGAGCAAUGGGGAAAGCUCACAGAUUGUGUGGUCAUGAGGGAUCCUCCUUCCAAGCGAUCAAGAGGGUUUGGAUUUGUCACAUUCUCUACAGCUGAAGAAGUUGAUGAUGCAAUGGCUGCUCGGCCUCAUAAAAUCGAUGGUCGUGUUGUGGAGCCUAAACGAGCAGUUGCAAGAGAAGAAUCUGGGAAACCAGGAGCACACCUGACUGUGAAGAAACUAUUUGUUGGUGGAAUAAAAGAUGACACUGAUGAACAUCACCUCAGAGCGUACUUUAAGAACUAUGGAAAAAUUGAAAGCAUUGAAGUAAUAACAGACCGCCAAAGUGGGAAGAAGAGAGGUUUUGCGUUUGUAUCUUUUGAUGACCAUGAUCCAGUGGACAAAGUAGUCCUUCAAAAAUAUCAUUACGUUAAUGGGCAUAAUGCAGAAGUAAGAAAAGCUUUGUCACGUCAAGAAAUAUUGGAGGCACAAAGUAACAGGUCAGGACGAGGAGGUGGUGGCUUUAGAGGUGACCCUCGUGGAAGUGGCAAUUUUCCUAUGGGGCGUGGAGGUAACUUCGGAGGUGGCCCAAAUGGAUUUGGUGGUGGCCGUGGUUUUGGCGAUGGCCCUGGUUUCAAUGGCUUUGGUGGAGGAGGUGGUAACUUUGGAGGACCGGGGUUUGGAGGUCCAGGAUUCGGUGGAGGUCCUGGAUUUGGUGGAGGAUUUGGUAACCAUGGUGGUGGCUAUGAUGGAGGUGGAAAUUAUGGUGGAAAUUUUGGAGGAGGUGGGAACUACAAUGAUUUUGGGAACUACCAUCAUCAGAACUCUAAUUUUGGACCAAUGAAAGGUGGAAACUAUGGAGGAAGAAAUAUGGGUGGACCGUAUGGAGGGAAUUAUGGUGGUGGAUAUGGUGGACGUAACAGAUAUUAAUUCAGCAAAACCCAUUCCAAGGGUUAUAGUAUCUGAAGUUGAUUGGGUGUUGAUUGUCCAUUGGAUCUUAAACUGAGAGCUGCCAGACUUCAUUCCACAUGUGAUCAGAACCAUCCUCAGCCAGCAUCUGACCUCUAUCAACUGGUCUGGGCUGCACUGGAACUGAAAUCACAGUGGAGAAGGCAGUGAUCUAAGCUAUAAGCUACAUGAUCAGUUUUGUUCGCUACAGAAGUAGGUAAGUGUACAGAGCUCUGACCAAUAUGUGGUGAUUUGAAUGUAGCAUUCAGUGACAAGUGAAUUGAUGAACAUGGCACUGAAGGGGUUCAGCAUGUCAGAAUUGAAAACAUCUAAUUAAUACUUGCCAAUUUAAUGAGACAAAGUUGGAAGAUCACUAACCAGGCAAAGUAUAUGGAAAAAAAAUCUUUGUAAUGAAAAUAUUGCUUUUGUUUUAAAAGUUGACAUUUAAUAUAGAUGACUACUUAAGCAAAUUUUAGUUCAUGUUAAUUUUCAGAAGUCUGAUUUUAACUUUAAUAAAUGCACAUUGUUGCUCCAUUAGCUCAGGUGUCAAGCAGAUAAUUGAAUGUUUAUAUUAAGCUGUCUUUCAGUAGUAGGUUCCCUCCUUAGAAACUGGCUCUCACCAGUUAUGUUGUGCAGAUUCUGCAUUUAAUAAUGUGUGCCCGAUUGAGGUUGGUUCUAAGUUUUUAAUAAAAUUUAAGCAGAUCGGAAAAUGUCUGAAGAAACAAACACAGUACCCUAGUUCAGUCAACAAAAUACAGAUCAGUUAACUUUACAGCCCCCAAGUUGUUUUAUUGCUGGCAAAAGUGCUAAAUAUUUCAGGUUUCAGUGCUGCUUUUCAUUUGUGUUUUUGAGUAAUGUUAGCGCUCAAAUUCCUCCAGCAAAAGUUGUUUAGUUUCCAAACCUCUGCUCCUCUCUCUAAUAUGUUCUUUUGCAGAAGUAGUUGUCCUUUUUAUUUACUUUCCUGCUUCAAAGUGCCAGGCUUCCAUAUUCCCUAUAUGUAUCUAGCAGAUGGUUGCCUAGAAAUGAGGCUCUAAGGGACAAAAUAUGUGAGGAUCUGAGCUGAUACGGAAUUCAAUGGAUUGUGGAUGUUUUUUGACAAGGAUGCUGAGUUCAGUAAAUUGAUAGUUUUUCAUUCAUGACAGGUUUAAAAGGUAGUUUUGACCAGAGCUCCAGUUUACUUAAUGCUAAAUUCCAAGGGAUGUUUCAAUUCACUGUUAUUGCUGCUCAUUUAUUAACUGGCACUUUUGGAGCCUGUUUGGAUGAAAAUGUUAGAAUUCAUUAUAACCUUGUGAAGAAAGCGGUAUUGGAAAUAGCUUGUUUAGUUUCCAGAGUAUAAUAAUGGUUGAGGAUUGAAAGGUAAAAUUAAGACUAAGAUUAGGAAGUCUUUGCAGCAGGCAGUGUUUCAAAUGGGCUCAGCUCCUGAAUAGAAUAGUGGUGAUAACAGCCUCAAAGAGCCAGUUGAAUGCCAUUAGUUUGCUUUAGUGUGCAAUUUACACAAAACCUACUUAUACAGUCACAACUCAAAGCGGGUUGUGUGAAUGUGAACUGAGAACCUCAGUUAAGCAAAAGAAAUUUAUUAAAAGUGAAUUGAAAUUUUUCUGUUGUAAUCUUCCUCAAAUGUUUAAUCACAGCAACAGAAAGUCUGAAGUUGGAUGUGGAAUUGAGAACUAUUUUUAAAGAAAAUUAAAUGAUGGAAAUGCAAUAUUUUAUUGGUGAUGGACUUAAAGCACAUUUUUUAAAAAAAACUCUGCUCAUGCACUGAGGUUAGUGUAAUAAGCCACUUGUUACAGAUGCUAAUUUCUGUUGGCUUAUUUUCCUUGAUAUGCAUAUUUUCAUGCGUAAGCUGAAUGUCCAGUUUUCCAUGUCAUUUGGCUUUGCUUCAAGAGUUAGUGCUAUGAUUCAGUAAAAUACAUAAAGUUUCCAUUGGUCAUUACACCAUUAUUUGAAAAUCUUAGAAUCUGCUGUCUGAGUUCAAUGGCACGGGCAUAGUGAAUUUUAAAGCCAUUAUAUUGCAUAAAGGAGAACAACGGAUCUGAGAAAUAAAACAAGGUAAACAAGUGGGUAUUUUUUUAAUCAGAAAUGACCAUUGCCACAUGUGAGAAUAAAUUGAAACUUGUCAGUUCUACUUUACCUUGGUUUUAAGUGUUACUGAUUUUAGUAGAUUAAUGCUGCUGCAUAUAGGUUCUAUAGGCAAUGAUAAAGUUCAUAAACUGCACUGAAACAAAAUAAAAUUGCUUUCAGUCAGAAUGGUAAACAGAUGUGGUUCAUAUUUGGAUUGCAGAGGAUCCAGCUUAGAAGCUGGUGUAGAAGGUGUUUUGUCAACUUGGGCUCAAAAUUGUGUUCUAAGUUUGGGGUGCAGUGUGUACAUUGAUUCCAUAAAUAACAAUUCUUUCAAACCUGUGACUGGAAUCACAAGAUCAAGGCACAGAAGUAUUCCAACCCUCCUUUAAAAUCAUGGUUUCAUCAAAGUGUACUACGUGUAAAAUAUUAAGUUAACUAUGGAGUCAGAAACAGACAACAUUCUUGGCUAUUGCCAACUAAAUGUUGGAAAGUAAGGUUCUGCCUUAACAAGCUAAAGGUGUUAUGUUAUUAAGAUCUUGCCAUUCUUUAGAUGGACAUAAAUAUGACCAGUCACACAAGUAGCGUCUGAAAUGUCAUUCAGGAGCCUGAGUUCAGCCAAGACAAAUAUAAACAUUUUUAUAUGCUAUUAUUAAGUAGCUACCUAAUUAAUACAACUAGGUAAAGGCAAGACUGGGUUUGAUUACAAACUUCGUUGCGACAUUAGCACAGUGUAAUCUAUAGACUUUCUAUGAUUUAGCUGGAGUUGCAAUUUUUAGAUAAAUUAUAUAAAUCUCAAUCUGAAAUGUUCAGAAUUUGAUGGUCUUGUAAAAGAACAGAACUGUUUACCCUUAAUGCUGUCUGCAGAUUAGAAGUUGAGCAAGGGUUCCUAGAAUGUCGGCAGGCUAGUGAGUGCAUGAGGGAGACAGUAUGUGGCAGCUUGCUAAGUACAGAGGAACCUUGAUUAUCCAGCGUUCGAAUAACCGAAUUUCAGAUGAUCUGAACAAGAUCCCAAUGCAUGGCUAACUGUUAUCCAACAUUCGAUUAACGGAACAAAAUACUCCCCAUCUGUGUCCUUUUGAUGAACAAGGUUCCUGUAGUGGACUGGAUCCAGUCAUGAAAGCUGACAAGGGAACAUUUUUUUAACAUGGUGUAUUUGCAUCCUUGUUCAAUGGAUGGAUAUUAAAGAUGUGAACCUAUU